This 592-nucleotide ribosomal RNA is filed under the name uncultured Archaeosporaceae. RNAcentral describes it as "bacterial SSU rRNA". It matches the Rfam family "Eukaryotic small subunit ribosomal RNA", at positions 548 to 1087 of the family's 1831-position model. Lineage: Eukaryota; Fungi; Glomeromycota; Glomeromycetes; Archaeosporales; Archaeosporaceae. The record is from RNAcentral.
UUGGAGGGCAAGUCUGGUGCCAGCAGCCGCGGUAAUUCCAGCUCCAAUAGCGUAUAUUAAAGUUGUUGCAGUUAAAAAGCUCGUAGUUGAAUUUUAGGCCUGGCCAGGCGGUCCGUCUUUGGCGAGUACUGUCUUGUUGUCGGGUCUUCCUUCUGGUGAACCAGUAUGUCCUUUAUUGGGUGUGUUGGGGAGCCAGGACCAUUACCUUGAAAAAAUUAGAGUGUUUAAAGCGGGCUAUUGCUUGAAUAGAUUAGCAUGGAAUAAUAGAAUAGGACGUUGUGGUUCUAUUUUGUUGGUUUCUAGGACCACCGUAAUGAUUAAUAGGGAUAGUUGGGGGCAUUAGUAUUCAAUUGUCAGAGGUGAAAUUCUUGGAUUUAUUGAAGACUAACUAUUGCGAAAGCAUUUGCCAAGGAUGUUUUCAUUAAUCAAGAACGAAAAGUUAGGGGGACGUACGAACGAGUACUACGAGUACGUACCGUUACGGUACGUUUAACCCUUAAACUAAACUUAAACUUAGUCCGGACCGUAACGGUAAGGUAACGGGUCCGGGUCCGGUUUACGUUUUUACUUUUACCGUAACCGUACCGUUUCC